GCCGGGCAUGGUGGCGCAUGCCUGUAAUCCCAGCUACUCAGGAGGCUGAGGCAGGAGAAUUGUUUGAAUCCAGAAGGCGGAGGUUGCAGUGAGCCAAGAUUGCACCACUGCACUCAGGCCUGGGUGACAGAGCAAGACUCUGUCUCAA
This 148-nucleotide non-coding RNA is filed under the name Gorilla gorilla gorilla (western lowland gorilla). The record is from Rfam by way of RNAcentral. Lineage: Eukaryota; Metazoa; Chordata; Mammalia; Primates; Hominidae.